Molecule: non-coding RNA, 29 nt
Filed under: Rattus norvegicus (Norway rat)
Lineage: Eukaryota; Metazoa; Chordata; Mammalia; Rodentia; Muridae
Source: RNAcentral
UGUAUUUGUGGACAUGAGGAUGGUUAUGA